CAAUAAGAAAUUCCUGCCGACUGAGUUCCUUUCCUCAUGGGGGCCCAGUGUGCAAUGGCUGCAAACAGCAGCUUCCCUGGUAGUGAUGCAGCCUGUUUGUUGUAUGGGUUGCUCUAAGGGACCUUGGAGACAGAC
This 135-nucleotide small nucleolar RNA is filed under the name Piliocolobus tephrosceles (Ugandan red Colobus). Its description in RNAcentral is "Small nucleolar RNA SNORA70 (ENSPTEG00000024692.1)". It matches the Rfam family "Small nucleolar RNA SNORA70". From Rfam's summary of the family: snoRNA U70 seems to be exclusive to mammals and is a member of the H/ACA class of snoRNA which contain H (ANANNA) and ACA box motifs. H/ACA box snoRNAs are involved in the conversion of uridines to pseudouridines (5-ribosyluracil) a constituent of structural RNAs (transfer, ribosomal, small nuclear, and small nucleolar). Lineage: Eukaryota; Metazoa; Chordata; Mammalia; Primates; Cercopithecidae. The record is from RNAcentral.